This 541-nucleotide long non-coding RNA is filed under the name Amphibalanus amphitrite. Its description in RNAcentral is "uncharacterized LOC122377152, transcript variant X4". The record is from RNAcentral. Lineage: Eukaryota; Metazoa; Arthropoda; Thecostraca; Balanomorpha; Balanidae.
CCCCGGGCGGCGGCCGGUCGGCCGGAGCGCGGCUGGCCGUCGCGCGCGCGACCUCUUCGCUACCAGCGCUCGGUGAGGGCGGACGGCACUCGGUGUGCUGACGGUUUCUGGAAGAAAUUUCGACGGAUACGAGUGUUUGUCCGCGGUGUCUGGGCUUUCUCCCGGUGCCGAGUCCCGCCCGGCGGCUGCAGUGUCGACCAGAGAUUCCGGUCCGUGGUCGGAGCUCCGGCCGCCUCUGAACGCAUUGCGUUGUGUGAUCAGCCGUCUGGGGCGGUGCCGCCACCCCUCUGUGUUCGCUGGACGGCCACCGCGAGAGAGCGCGCCCCCGGUCCUGUGUCGGACCGACCUGUCAACAAACAGACUGGGAACGCUCAUGUGCGGCAGUACGUGCGCCGCCGUUGGUACCGAGACUAGAAGCGUCCAUCUGCCGGUCAAAACUGGACUGCGGCCGACGGGAACUCCAGAUCUCUCACAGCUCGCGGGUUGGUGAACCAGCCUGAUUGGGAAUCUGCGGCGGCCUCACACCUGGACGAAAGAUGAG